CUGCCCAGUGAUCCUUAAACGGCCGCGGUAUCCUGACCGUGCAAAGGUAGCAUAAUAAUUUGCCUCCUAAUUAGAGGCUAGCAUGAAUGGACAAACGAAAGCUUAAUUGUCUCCUAUAUACUCAAAGAAAACUAACCUUCAGGUGAAGAGGCCUGAAUUAAUCUAAAGGACAAAAAGACCCUAUCGAGCUUCACUUAUAAACCCGCACUAUUAUAUAAUAUAGCCAACGGAUAAUAAGUUUAGUUGGGGCGACUAAGGACCACCAGAUAACUAUUACCUACUAAACGUCCUCCCAAUAAAAGACCAAAAGUCAUACAAAUGAUCCAUCAACCCAAUGACCACCUGACCAAGCUACCGUAGGGAUAACAGACUAAUCCUCCUAAAGAGCCCAAAUCGCCAGGAGGGAUUGGCACCUCGAUGUUGGCUUAGGAAUCUAUUGAGCGCAGCAGCCCAAAAAAGAAGGUUUGUUCAACCUAAAAUUCCCUACGUGAUCU
RNAcentral lists this ribosomal RNA (494 nucleotides) under Arabella iricolor. RNAcentral describes it as "partial 16S ribosomal RNA". It matches the Rfam family "Bacterial large subunit ribosomal RNA", at positions 1859 to 2606 of the family's 2925-position model. Lineage: Eukaryota; Metazoa; Annelida; Polychaeta; Eunicida; Oenonidae. The record is from RNAcentral.